UCAUUAUCUUUCGAGUGACGCGCACAUGAGUGUGCGGUCCUUGUAUGAUACGGACUCAAUAGACACAGACCUGGGCAGAUAUUGUAUAAAUUCAAGCUAAAAAGAGACGAUUCCCUUGUGUCGUGUGUGAUGUUAAAAUGGUAUUCAAGGUGUUGGCGAUCGUCCUUUCGGCAGCCAUUUGUAAUGCUGCAAGAAAUGACAGAGAAAUUGGACAAGAUCCUGGCAAUAUAUCCGCUAGACGUAGCAACAUCCCCGUGGCACUAACGGGAUCGCCAACUCAUCCCUCGGUAAAGAGCACAACAUCGACGUCAGAGGCAACGACGCCAAGGGGACACACGACGCCAGAGGGACAUUCGACGUCAGGGGCCUACCUGACGACAAAUACGACUUCAUCAACAGGCCUCCCACCUGAAAUUCGAGAGACACUAGUAUCGGCUGUCUCGCGCAUACGCCAAGCUGUCGAAGACCUCUCCUCCCAUCUGGAGCACAGCAGUGGAGUCCCUGCUUGCAGCUCAAACGGUGGGCUGUGUCUCUUUGGUAUUUUGUUGUCUUCAACUACAAGUUAUAUCUGGAAUCAGCUGCUUUGUCCAUCGCACCUUCGGAAACUUCCGUAACGCAGCACCAAAACACAAAACAAGUGUGAUUAUGCUAUUUUUCUUUCUGCUUCCAAAGCUAUGCCGAUGGAGGAAGAAAGUAUAGUGUCGAAGACAUCAAACAUGUACGCUGUCGUCACCUCAUUCGCUGUGGUUGCCGUUACAAGUUAAUAAAAAAACAAUAGAGCUAGA
Long non-coding RNA from Ornithodoros turicata, 785 nucleotides. RefSeq lists it as uncharacterized. The transcript has 3 exons. Lineage: Eukaryota; Metazoa; Arthropoda; Arachnida; Ixodida; Argasidae. The record is from RefSeq and is a predicted model, not a curated record.